UGCCAGCAUACAGUUUUCUAACCACUUUUGUUUGUUUCAAGUUUUUUGGUCAUGAUAAUAACAUCUUCAGACUGGACCGUGGAAGUCAACCAAUCAACAAUCAACAUUGAAACAAGACGUCCCCGAUAGCAGACAGGACGUCCCUGACGCUGCGGCCCACCUGUGUGGAAGGCAACUUGGACAAUCUUGCGUCCUCUUUUCCUGCAGUUGACAGCGGUCUUGGAUGGCCCCAAUUCAGAUACGCAGGCUGAAGUCCUUCGCAGACACUAAGCAAUUUACUGCUGUGGAUGAGGGUUCAGCCAAAGCAACGACUCUACACACAUUUAAACUGGUGGGGCUUUGGAGGCCAGCGUCU
Plectropomus leopardus (leopard coralgrouper) is the source of this 355-nucleotide long non-coding RNA. RefSeq lists it as uncharacterized. NCBI's taxonomy places the organism in Eukaryota, Metazoa, Chordata, Actinopteri, Perciformes, Serranidae. The record is from RefSeq and is a predicted model, not a curated record.